UCCCCAGAUGCCUCAGGUUGCACCCA
RNAcentral lists this non-coding RNA (26 nucleotides) under Drosophila melanogaster (fruit fly). The record is from RNAcentral. Lineage: Eukaryota; Metazoa; Arthropoda; Insecta; Diptera; Drosophilidae.